AAUUGCAAGUUAUAAAGUCAGAAUUGUGAGAGAUAAACUAUAUCUCGCAAUGUGACAUUUUUCUCGCAAUUCUGACUUCUUUUCUCAGAUUUGUGAGAUAUAAACUCGCAAUUGUGAGUUAUAAAUUGAGGAAAUAAAGACUGACACUUUCUCAGAAUUCUGACUUUAUAACUUGCAGUUCUGAGAAAAAAGUCAGUCUUUAUUUAGUCAUAAUUGGACUUUAUAAGACACAACUGCGACUUUUUAAUCACAAAAUUCUAACUUUAUUACGCACAAUUGCGAGUUUAUAUCAUGCAAUUCUGAGAAAAAAGACAGAAUUGCAAGAUGUAAACUCGGAAUUGCGAGGGGGAAAAAAAAUCAGAAUUGUGAGUUAAAAGUUGCAGUUAUCUUUUUUUUAUUCAGUGGCGGAAACCACAGUUGGAAGCAUUCUUGCUGGAUAAAAGUAUCAAUUUCUUUAAAAAAAAAAAACAAACAAACAAAAAAAAACUACUGACCCCAGACUAUUGAAUGUUAGUGUGUAUUGCUCAAUAAUGAAAUUUGUCAUUUAAAAAAAAAGUGUAAAACGAUGACUCUUUUACCCCAAAUGUGACCACUAGGCUGCCUAAAGUAAACGGUGAGGUAGCUCACUAGGUUUUGGAACAGAGCUUCUGUUGUGGUGUUUCUCACAGAGACAAAACAGUCAGAAUGAAUGAAAAGACUGAGAGUCGCUUUCUCAAAAAUGGAUGGCACCGUUUAUGGUUGACAUUGAGGGUAAGAGUGAAUCCAAGUAUUUACAACGGACCAAGCACCUUCAGUGUACUGCCUCUGAUAGACAUACCUCACCUUUUUCAGAGUUGUCACACUUAAGUGUCAUAGUUUUUGUAUAACCUAUUGAGUGCUUUUCAAUAUGCAUGAGAAUAUGUAUGGUUUCCAAUGCACUACUGUACAAACCCUCUGGUGUGUUUUUCGCUAUGUGUAGACAAUUUAGAUGUCUUUUUCUGUGACUGUUCUCGUGUUUGUGACCAUGUUGUCUUUUGAUACAGGGGUUUUCCUGCUCUGAUCUAUGAAUCUGCUUGUUACAAGCGGUAAUUGCUUCUUUAUUCAUAUCUCAAUUCCUUAAAGAUACAGCGGUCAUAAAGUAUAGCUCAUGCUGGAAGAAUUAUCUGCCUGUUAUCUUUUGCCAAGUCUGUCCUGCAUGAUAAUGGAAUAAUUUGAAUUUACUGUAAAUUCACAUUAUUUGUCAUCAUUAAACAACAUAAAAUAAAGAUGUUUGGUGGUGCAAAAAACACAAAUUUAUACUUCCCGCAAGUUGUCUGUCUUUCAAGUUAAUCUUAAUAACGCUGUAAAAACAUAAUUCAGCGUCUUAGGAACCUUUUAUGGUGGGUUUAGUUUCAUCGACACUAACUGCUGUUUGUGCUAUUUCUCCCAUUGUUUCUUUGUGUUCGAGUAUAUUCUCUGGCCAACGGAGACACGUCUGUCCAUCAUCCUCCUGCCUGCCUCUGCUUUCAAAGGGACAAGACCUCUUCAAGGCCCUUUAUCCAGGUCACUCCUAAAGGCAUGUUUAGAUCUAACACAAAGCAAAGCUCUGAUUAGAAAUAAACAGCCAGUUCUGAGAGCCGAUGCUUAUGGGAUUUAUGUUCCCCAUCUCAUCUGUAGCAUCACUAAAUCUCUUUUUUACGUUUUUAAAAUCCUUUUUUUUUUUUUUGCCUUGAGCUGUAGAUUUGUUCUACAGUGAUACCUUUUCUGUCAGGGCAGCUAUGUAUUUUCAUGUAUAAAAACCCUUAUAUAUUGCGUAUGAAAUGUGAUGUUAUCAUGAAAACAUACUAUAUAUACAUACACAAAAGCAAUACAAUAUUCAAUUACAUCCCUUAGUAAUUACCCAAGUUUAGUCCCAAUUAUACGGAAAAACUAAAUUUUCCAUACUUUUAUCAAUUCUAUCUGCCAGCAUUAAUUGGUCUCAUCACAGAAUAAACUGUCCAUAUUCAGCUUCAUGAAGACCUUGCAUUCACUUUAGUCAACCACAGAGGUUCGUUACGGGAACUUUUUUUAUAUUAUUAUUAUUAUUAUUUAAGACCUAAAUGGACUAAUUUAGUCACGUUGUGUGUCAGCUGAUAAUUGUGUAUUUCCCCAGGAUAUUUCAAGAACAUGUGCUUUAUGUAAUGUACCAAGAUACUGGUAUAUUUAUUUUCUGUAUUGUAGGUGCUGUCUGAUAAAGAAGACUCUUUAAGGAAAUCUCAUCUGGAAAAAGGGUAAGUGUUAAAGUUUUGCCUACUCUCAUGACCACAUGUGACUCCAAGUGUGUAUGAGAGAUCCUGAUGGCCAGCUGCUGUCCUACUCUAUUAUUGAAGUGCCUUUCAAGAGCUCAUCUCCUCAUCCACUCAUGGGGGAAAUUACCUACAUCCGUGCACAGCAAAACAAUGUUCGUUUUGUGUCACAUUAUACAGCCAUUUUUUCACAUUUUAUAGAAACAUGUCAAUGUGUUAAUAAAUAGUGAAUUAAAAUGA
Long non-coding RNA from Megalobrama amblycephala (Wuchang bream), 2483 nucleotides. RefSeq lists it as uncharacterized. NCBI's taxonomy places the organism in Eukaryota, Metazoa, Chordata, Actinopteri, Cypriniformes, Xenocyprididae. The record is from RefSeq and is a predicted model, not a curated record. The transcript is spliced from 2 exons.